GAUGAACGCUGGCGGCGUGCCUAAUACAUGCAAGUCGAGCGAACGGACGAGAAGCUUGCUUCUCUGAUGUUAGCGGCGGACGGGUGAGUAACACGUGGAUAACCUACCUAUAAGACUGGGAUAACUUCGGGAAACCGGAGCUAAUUCCGGAUAAUAUUUUGAACCGCAUGGUUCAAAAGUGAAAGACGGUCUUGCUGCCACUUAUAGAUGGAUCCGCGCUGCAUUAGCUAGUUGGUAAGGUAACGGCUUACCAAGGCAACGAUGCAUAGCCGACCUGAGAGGGUGAUCGGCCACACUGGAACUGAGACACGGUCCAGACUCCUACGGGAGGCAGCAGUAGGGAAUCUUCCGCAAUGGGCGAAAGCCUGACGGAGCAACGCCGCGUGAGUGAUGAAGGUCUUCGGAUCGUAAAACUCUGUUAUUAGGGAAGAACAUAUGUGUAAGUAACUGUGCACAUCUUGACGGUACCUAAUCAGAAAGCCACGGCUAACUACGUG
RNAcentral lists this ribosomal RNA (497 nucleotides) under uncultured bacterium. RNAcentral describes it as "partial 16S ribosomal RNA". It matches the Rfam family "Bacterial small subunit ribosomal RNA", at positions 28 to 507 of the family's 1533-position model. The record is from RNAcentral.